Molecule: ribosomal RNA, 301 nt
Filed under: uncultured bacterium
Lineage: Bacteria
Description: partial 16S ribosomal RNA
Rfam family: Bacterial small subunit ribosomal RNA
Source: RNAcentral
CAGCCGCCGCGGGAAUACGUAUGUCACAAGCGUUAUCCGGAUUUAUUGGGCGUAAAGCGCGUCUAGGUGGUUAUGUAAGUCUGAUGUGAAAAUGCAGGGCUCAACUCUGUAUUGCGUUGGAAACUGUGUAACUAGAGUACUGGAGAGGUAAGCGGAACUACAGGUGUAGAGGUGAAAUUCGUAGAUAUUUGUAGGAAUGCCGAUGGGGAAGCCAGCUUACUGGACAGAUACUGACGCUAAAGCGCGAAAGCGUGGGUAGCAAACAGGAUUAGAUACCCCGGUAGUCCCUGUCUCUUAUACC